This 624-nucleotide long non-coding RNA is filed under the name Panax ginseng (ginseng). RNAcentral's name for it is "long non-coding RNA (PGIN_LNC010155)". Lineage: Eukaryota; Viridiplantae; Streptophyta; Magnoliopsida; Apiales; Araliaceae. The record is from RNAcentral.
GAAUGUGAUAGAAUCUAGUAUUUAACAGGGAAAUGUAGUUGGUACUUUGUCAUUGUCUGUUGAUGUUAGUUAGAUUGUGGGUCAUACAGCUAUCCAUUAACCUGAAGAAGACAAAUGCUGAAAUUUUGUUCCAAGUAUAUAUUUUAAUUACAUAUGAAAUGAUUCCCUUUACAUAGAAUAAUUUUUUGGAUUGAAAUGAUGUAGGAAACAAUUGGAGCGGCAUGAUAUACGAAAACAAGGAGAUAGGCGGCAACUGGCCACAGAAUGGGACGGUCAAGAGAUGCCAAGAACAAAAGUUAAAGAGGUACUACUGAUAUGCCUACUUUAAUUUAAAACUGAAUAUUAAAUAUGCAGUUGAUACAGCAGUAUUAGGUUCAAUUGACUACUUUGAAGUUUCAGUGGAGGUGGGUAUGGCAUGUCACCAUUGCCGGCCGAACCCGGUGAAUUUUUCUAUUACAAAACUAGAAGGAUAAUUAUAUCACAUGUAUUGAUAUAAUGAGAAUUUAUUUUUUGUUCUAUGUUUACACCUAAAAACAAUAAGUUUGUAUUAAUUUUGUAAUAGUGGCAUAAUAAUGGAAUUAUGAUGACAAAUUUGAGAAUAUUAUAUUACUUUUCAAAUGACUA